UUAAACUUGAAUAGGAAAAAAAAGGCUGCAUAACAACAUCACUCAGCCUCAUACUGCUGCUGAGCAGUAAGUGAUAAAAAGUUUUUUAAAUACACAGUGAAUCUACACUGGUGCUGAAAACAAUAUGGAAAAAACUAAAAAAUACUUUAGUUUGAGGCAUACCGUGAAACUGUCUGUUCAAGCAUUUGCCGACUAUGGAAAUGUGACGCAGCGUUCAUCCAGCCAAUCAAGUCAGCAUAAUCUUAGUCCAAACCAUUCAAGUACGUCUGUGCAUCUUGUGCAGAGUGGAAAGAGUGGUCAGACCCGUUAUGGGUGAAACAGAGGUUAGAAGGGUAGCGCAUCACAAAGCGGACACCUCUUUGAAUAAGCUGUCCGCAGACGUCGUUGUAUGCCCGUCUAGCCUCUCUAACUUUAACUGACAGGUCCUGCGUGAUGAGAAUGCCACUUCCCUCAUGUGUGAGAUGUUCCUUCUUCUUUGCAGCAGCCAAGAUUUUAGUCUUGUCCGAGUAGUUGUGAAGCUUAAUCAGCACAGGACGUGCGCGGUUGGGUUUAAGCGGACCCAGUGUUCUAUGCGCCCGGUCGAUUUUAAUAGUGCCAUGUUUGGUUUCAAUCUCCAGCAGCUUGGGCAGCCAGGUUUCAAAAAACUUAACAGGUUGGCGACCCUCCGCGCCCUCCUUUAAACCAAUGAUACGAAUAUUGUCCCGCCGGCUGCGAUUUUCGGCGUCUUCUGCUCUCUCCGAGAGGGACUGUACAGUUUUUUCCAGCGACGAUAUCUUGUUGUGAAGUUCCGCCAUUUUAUCCUCGGUCCGGGAUACACGGUUUUCCGCCUCCGUGAUACGCUUUGUGUUAUCCUCUAAUCGGCUUGUAAUUGUAUCCAACGUCGACUCGAAACGAGCGAAUUUCUCGUCCAGGAAAGCGGUUAGAUUAUCAGUUACAGCCUGCACCAGACUGGACUGUACAGCUGAAGAACCGCCAUCUUUGUUACUCUGAUUAGUAGGCGGUUGGCCUUUUGCUGUCGUGCGGCCCCUUCUAGUUUCUUGUUGAGAAGGCGUAGGACCUGAUCCUGACAUGUUUACGGAUUGGAUAAUAAAGAUUUAAGAAAACAACCACGUAGUUUAAUGUAAAAAUGAGAAAAUAACGCGAUGGUCGCGGGAGCCCGGCGAAAACGUGCCACUUAGAGCAAGAGCAUCACGUGACUCCCGACGCCCUUGUUUUUAAACACUCUCCGUGUGUCUCAUUAGUUUACUAGCUCAUAAAUCAGUCUGUGAAUCCCCAAUCGGAAGUUAUUAUUCUGUCAAAGAUCAGCGCUCUUGGAUGUUACGUUAAAGUUAAUGGGAGUAAUGUCUUGUCACAUCGUGUGGACGAUUAACACUUGGAAAGAGGAAUAUAAACACUCGUUUUUUUCUGGAGCUAUAUCUCUUAUCAGAACGCGAAAACACCGUGGAACUGCAGGUAAGCACCGCAGCUUUUAAAUGUAGACAUUGAUCAUUUACUUUAUCGUGACGUGACUAUUAAAACAUGUUAUGAGAUAUCGCCACUGGUAUAUUUAUAAGCAGCAUGCAAAGCAUCUCUCUGACACUUAUAAAAAACCGUUUUAUAUAGUACUGACAAGAACAAAGUUAAAUAAGAAUCGAGUGCUCGUAUCGCGUUAAGAGUAAAUGGGUAACCAAUAGUAACAUUAUAUAAGUGUAGUUUUAUUAACUUUUACCUCGCGCCAAAACAAUAACCACACAAAAGACACUAAAUAUGAAUAAGAAAACAAGUAAUAGUUUUAUCAUGACAUCUUACUAAUCGACUGUAGAUUUAAAUAUAAUAAAUAUAUAUUCUCGACUGAACUAAUCUUAAAACUACACUUUGUGACCAAGAAACGUUAAUAUAAAGAAACGCCAUUGAGUUAUUAUGAGAUUCAAAGCAGCCGAAAGUGUUACCUGUCAUUCUGGCAGCCCUCAAAUCCGUGGCGGAAGAAGUAGUUCUCAAACAAAGAGGCUUUUAAAAUAACUCCGUUGUUGUUUUCUAGUUUUCGUUUUUCAAACGUGUGCCGUCGAACUGUUGUAUAAAAGCAAUAUCGCUCUCGGAGUCGUGUGAUAUAGCUCUAUAUCAUCACGGCUGUGAUUGCCUCCGGCACUCGGCCUACGGCCUCGUGCCUCUGGCCUAAUCACAGCCGUGAUGAUAUAGAGCUAUAUCACACUCCUACUCGAGCGAUAUUGCUUAAAUGACAUUCUCCCCAUUACUAUUUAAGGGAAAUAAACAUUAGCUCAAAAGUAAAGUUCUUCUAAUGGACUGCAAUCAAUUAUAAGUAUGUGGAUCAAUCAAAUGAGAAAAGGGAAAAUCUUGAAUCUCACAAAUGUCUUAUGCCUGGCUCACACUACAGGAUUUUUUAAAUCCUGGCAGAUUAUGAAAUCUGGUUGCAGCACACACAUAAGGAGAUUCUUGUCAGUUAUUCUUCUCUUAUAUCUUAAACGUGCUCACACUACAGGAUUUUAAAAUCCUAGUGCAUCAUACACUACAGGGUAUAAUUAAAAUUGUCUUACCAGAGCAAUCAUUUCAUGUCACCUCAGGGGAAGAGGAUAUAAAGGGAUGGAGAUUGUCACACAUUUAUUAUGUUUUUUUUUAUACUUUUAUUUGCUAACAGCUUUCUACACUUACCCGGUGUAUUUGAAACCUAGGCAAUUUCUCCUCCUCAGCUCUUGUUUAUGAGGCAAUGAUCAUGAUAGUUUUAAGGAUGUGUUAUGAUUCCAGAAGUAUGUCCAAAAAAUUCAGGAAUAUAUAUAAAAGGAUUAAUUACGCUUUCUCGCAGCCCUAAUUGUGCUGCGCCUAUUUGCCUGCAUGCCGGUGAACAGCAAAGCACGCAUGAUGACUAUAAAUUACUUUUAUGGUUAUUUUUGGUUAGAUAAAAACUUUUGCUUCUGUAAUCUCUAAAACAUGAUGCAUUUUCCUGCGUUUUUGAGCGUUUAACAAAAAAUCGCAAACUUUAAAUUUGUUUUGUUAAAGGGACACUCCACUUUUUUGAGUCAAACAUUUGACUGAUCUCCGGGGCUGGUGGUACCACUUUUAGCAUGGCUUAGCACAAUUCAUUGAAUCUGAUUAGACCAGAAGUAAUCAACAAAAAUAAUCUAUGUUCUUGCCCACUGCAAUUGCCCCUCUCUUAUUGAGAAUCAUGGAAUCACGGAAAUGUUCUGGGACCAAAGUGCUGUGUGAAUGAGGUUAUGAAUAGUUUAUUGUAGGUCAAUAUUAUUUAUUGUCUGUUAAACAGAGUGCAUCCAAAUUUUGGUCUGUAAUGAUUUGGUCUCAUUGAUAAAAGGUUAUUUAUUGGUAAGCAAUCUAAUUUUAAGAAUACCAAAUUUUAACAUUUGAGUUUAAUAUAUUGUUUUCUAAUUUUAUAUUAUUCAGAUUUGUACGAGAUGAGGUGUAUGCGUUUUUAUGUACACUGAAAAAAAUGGACUUGGUGGGUCUUUGAAUUUAAAUAAAAUAAACAUGUAUAUGCAACACAAAAUAUUUAUAUUCCUUGUGUAAACAUAAUUUAAUUGAUUAGGAUGAAAAUGUUUUGUUUGAAUGUAAAAUAAACACAUUAUUCUCACAUUGAUUAAAAUUGAUUGAAUUGAAUACUUAAAGCAAUAAAAUUGAGUUUGCACACAAAAUGGCACCUCCUGAGCAGAAGGUGGCAGUAACGCUCAAUAAAAAGGACGUCAAUCGCCAUAAAAGAAGAAUAAACAUCGUUUGUUUUGGGCGCCAAAAUGAAGACUCAGCAGCAGUCAGUCAGAAGAACUCUCUCAGACGGACACCACGUUAUUAAAGUAAGUUCUAUUAUUUAUUUAUGUUCACUUUAUACGUGAUACAUCUUCACUAGAUAGACAGUUUUUUUUACAAUAUGUAGCCAUUGCAAUGACUUGUAGUAAAAAUGAGUUUGGAGGAUGUUGGUGGAGUAAGUUAACGUUACAGUCAGUCAGUCAGUCAGUAAGUGUAAGGCUCAUAAAGAAAAACAGCGUUUUAAAAAUGUCAGCUGUAUAACGUUAUUUCACGUUUGGUAGUUUUAUCCGAGUUGAAAACUGACAGAUUUGAGUUGACUUUUGAGGCACUUUUUACUCAGUUGUUCUAUGGAAACGGUUCAGGACAAAUAAAACGCUAACCAAACGUUAUUCUGUCCAGAGUAACGUUAUCCAUGUAAGUAAUUUACCAGAUGAUAUCAAUUGACUACAUUAAUAAUGACAUUGCGUAUGAAACAAACUGUCUGCUUAAUCAGAUGAACAGACCCGCGUCAGUUAUUCGUGACUUCGCUACGCCACGAGCAACACUUGAUUCUAUUAGAAAAAGCUUUUUUAAAUGUCUCGCGUGACUUCUGGUAUAUUAACUGAAAAAAAAAUGCUUUAUAGUGCCACACCUUAAAGCUGACGUUUUCAGAAGAGAACCUUGUUGUUUUAAGAUCUAAUUUUGUCCAAAUUUUGUAUGACAGAUAUAAUACUUAAUUCAUUAUUGCUCUGUGUAUGUGUGACCUUCAUCAUUUGAGUUUAUGUGUUGAUUUCACCUCUGAAUUUUUCCUCUUAUAGGUCCAUCAUCCUUGCAUGCGCUACACACUCAAAAGCAUUGAUAAAUGCUGAAUUUAAAAGAAUCACUACUGUCUUAUGUUCCUGUGUCACCUGGACCUCCAAUCCAAAAACCUGAUGAAACUCUUCUAUCAGAAAGGAGGACAGCUAGCAAAAAGACUUGGAACAAUCAAUGAUCAAAUGACAGAAGGCAUGGAUAAAGUCAGCAUCAGCGAGGUCAUUUGAAGACACCACUGUUGGGAUUUGUGCUCUCAAACAACAUCCUUCUUGUGAUGAAGAAGAGGAUCUUUGUAUAGUCCUGGAAGGCAUGAAGGUGUUGCAACAUCGUGCCAUGUUGUUUGAGCUGAUGUUUGCCUUAAACCUGAGCUAUCCUGAUCUCCGCUUUAUUUUUGAGGAAAUCCAAAAGAUUUUAAUGGAACUGCAUUGACCGUAACUUUAACGAACAGUUUCUUUCAGUGAAAGGAUCAGAAAGACUGUGCUGCUCAUUUUAGUUAUCUGUUUUAAGUGUUUUCUCUUAUUUAAACAUUAACAGUUUGCUGCUCAGAGUUGAUUUUGGAAAUGGUUGUUGUAUUUUGUUUUUGUUGAAUCUUUGAUUAACAGUUUAUACAACUGCUGUAGCUCUGACUUUCUGAAGGAUUGAUAUUUUCCAGUUUGUAAAUCAAUUUUAAAAAUAAUAGUACUUACUGUUUUGCAUGUCUCUUUGGAAUGCAGUGUUUGUGUUUUAGCACUUCUAAAUCUACUGUGAUAGUAACUAUUUUAAACAUUUGGGUCAGUUUCACAGAUGGGGCUUUUCCUAGUCCCAGACUUUUGCAAUGCCUUAAUUUGAAAACAUAUUGCACUGACAUAUCGUGACAUAUAUGAGUGCCAUUGUUUUGUCUCAAGAUGUACUCCAGUGUUGUUUUUGUAAGGUAGGUUUGUUUGUAAACUUUUUUUUGUAAAAAAUAUCCUAAUAUAACUAGGGCCUAGUCAUGGAUUAAUCUACAACCUGUCUGGGAAAUUGCCCCUUUGUAUGUACUGCAUGUGCUGAUUGUUGUAAUAGUUAUUGACUGUUAAUGAAUUAAUGUGUAAUGAUGUCAUUGAAUUGAUGAUCUGAAAGCAGUGGUUUGCCUCAAUAUCACUAAACAUUUGUUCAAAACUCUUUGCUUUUUAUGCCAAUGCAAAUGUAUUUUGUAUUUAAAAAAGAAAUAAAUAACAUUUGGAUAAUUAUGGGUGAUUAUUCUGGUGCCAGAGACAUAAUGAAAUUGUUUUAGAGUUAAAUAAUCCCAUAAUAUAAGCAUUAAAAAAGCAUGUUGGAAUUACAGAUGAAAAUCUAGUCCCCUUACAUAAUAAAAUUACUUAAACAUUACAAAAUAAAUGUGUUAUAGGAAAGAGAAAUAGCACUUUGAGUCAACAUAUUUAUAUUAGACUACCUAAAACAAUUAAAAUGUUUUGGUCUGACACACAAAAAUUAAAUGAGGAAAAUUAUGUUGGUUUUACACAAUCGGAUUAUG
Non-coding RNA from Paramisgurnus dabryanus, 6031 nucleotides. The record is from RefSeq and is a predicted model, not a curated record. Lineage: Eukaryota; Metazoa; Chordata; Actinopteri; Cypriniformes; Cobitidae.